UUCACAUCUUGCAACAGAACUGAUGAGAAAGAAAUGAGUUCAUUAAAAACCCAGGGAAGGAAUGAUGCCAUCCUCACCUACUGAGGCCAGGUUCCGGAAGGUCUCCAGCAUCACAUCUCUGUAGAGGUCCCUCUGAGCAGAAUCCAGCAAAGCCCACUCCUCCAGGGUGAAGUCCACAGCCACAUCCUCAAAGACCACUGAGUCCUAAGACAAACCACACAGGUGUGCAGGAGGAUUGGCGACACUGAAAGUACUGGGGAACUGGACUCAAUUCAUAAAUUCAAACAAGAUUCUGUGGUGUCCCAACACCUCCUCUAUGACGCGAAUCUUAGAUCUUUUACUUAUUCACAAUCACUUCCUAGUAAACUUCUUAGCACCACUAUCAGUCUGAACUUCUCUCUGCCUUUUUACUGCGACUGCUCUUAUUUUCCUCUACCAGGAGGGUCUAGAGAAAUGCUAUGCAAAUGAAGUAACUUUUCCAUUUGAAACGUUGCAUAACGCAGCAGGCCUCGGUUGUCCAAACGAUGCACGUUUCACAGGUCUUUCGGACAAGCCUUCCAUCAGCUACUGGAGAAAAUGGAUUCUGUGACUGUAAAAACCAAUGGCCGGGCGCGGCGGCUCACACCUGUCAUCCCAGCACUUUGGGAGGCCGAGGAGGGCGGAUCACGAGGUCAGGAGGUCGAGAUCAUCCUAGCUAUCUCUACUAAAAAUGCAAAAAAUUAGCCGGGCGUGGUGACAGGUGCCUGUAGUCCCAGCUACUGGGGAGGCGGAGCUUGGAGUGCGCGCUACUGCACUCCAGCCUGGGCGACAGAGCAAGACUCCGUCUCAAAAAAAAAAAAAAAAAAAAACAACAACAACAACAAUGAAAUGUGCACGUUAAAUGGCUGUACAUUCUAUAUGUCAGUAAAGCUGGUUUUUAAACAACAUAAAGAAUGUGAAGUUCACUGUCUUCCUCAAAAACAUGAUACACAGAAUGAAGCCGCCCAUGACCUCACCUCUAGUCAACGUUAUGCUAGUUCCAGCACCACCAGGAAAUAUACAAGAAUUAUAAAACAUAAACUUGUCUUUAUGCACAUUUCUAAGAAUUAU
RNAcentral lists this long non-coding RNA (1089 nucleotides) under Pan troglodytes (chimpanzee). RNAcentral describes it as "long non-coding RNA NONPTRT008313". Lineage: Eukaryota; Metazoa; Chordata; Mammalia; Primates; Hominidae. The record is from RNAcentral.